UACGUAGGGUGCGAGCGUUGUCCGGAAUUAUUGGGCGUAAAGAGCUCGUAGGUGGUUUGUCGCGUUGUCCGUGAAAACUCACAACUCAAUUGUGGGCGUGCGGGCGAUACGGGCAGACUGGAGUACUGCAGGGGAGACUGGAAUUCCUGGUGUAGCGGUGGAAUGCGCAGAUAUCAGGAGGAACACCGGUGGCGAAGGCGGGUCUCUGGGCAGUAACUGACGCUGAGGAGCGAAGGCGUGGGGAGCGAACAGG
Molecule: ribosomal RNA, 253 nt
Filed under: uncultured bacterium
Lineage: Bacteria
Description: partial 16S ribosomal RNA
Rfam family: Bacterial small subunit ribosomal RNA
Source: RNAcentral